Molecule: long non-coding RNA, 12221 nt
Filed under: Populus trichocarpa (black cottonwood)
Lineage: Eukaryota; Viridiplantae; Streptophyta; Magnoliopsida; Malpighiales; Salicaceae
Description: long non-coding RNA (PTRI_LNC003068)
Source: RNAcentral
UUGUCUAUUGACAGAAAAAGGUCUCCCCAGGUGUUGUUUUCUCUCUGCAAUCACUUCCCUGGUUUGUUUUUCUUAAUUUUUUGUCAUUUCUUUCUUAAUCUCUAGCUUUGUUUGUUACCAUAUAUGGCUAUGUAGAUGAAGAGCUUCAUGCAAAGAACAAAUAAACAGACCAGUGUUGUGUUUUUUUUUCAUUGGUUGUGGAUUGAAGAAACGAGUUGUGCACUACACUUCUAGGAUCUUUUGCUUUCAAGGCCAUUCCAAUUGAAACAAACAAGAAAAUAUUUGUUUUUUUUGUCACAUGGUACUUUGAAAAUAAUUCACUAGGUUGUUUUCAAAGAGUGCAUAGAGGGUGGGAGUUUAGACUUCUAAGAAGAUUGCAGACUAGGUUCUUAAUUACAGGUGGUGUAGCAAACAAUAUUUCUUGGGAUAAAAAAAACUGCAUGACUGGAAGAACAGGUAACUCCUUCGAUCUCUCCUUCAAUAUUUAAAAAAGGCAUCGAGAUAGAUGAAUAUUAGAGCUUAGAAGAAAAUUGAAAAUGAAGAGAGGACGCUUGCAUGGUGACCUGCCAUCCCCACUGAUCUAAUGUCCAGUUCAGAGGGAGAGAACUGAAACAAAUUCAUCAUGCACUCCAUGAAAAUGAACCUCAGUACACUGCACAUGCCCUUCAAUAUAUACAUUUACCUUUUUGUUUUGAAAUAUAAUACAAUGAAAAUAAAAAAGGGUGUUGAUCUUAAUUGUGUUUUGGGUAUAGGGUUUUCGUUUAAGGGAUGCUAAUAGGAAAUCAUUACUGCAUGGAAUCCAAAGACGUGGAUCUAUAUACAUUUGGAAAUCUUUCAGAUGACAGUUCGUCCCUUUUUUCUUCAAAACAACUUCAGUGAUUAUGCAUGUUGUGCGUGUAGUCUGGCAUUGCCUUCUGUUGAGCGUUGGAUUGAUUUUUCUUCUGGUGCUUGGCCUGGCACUGGUUCAAGCACUUUGAUAUGUUGGAUUUUAUGCUUUUUUUUUCAGGUUAUGUUGACUCACGGAUUGAAAAGGGUCUUGCUGUUUUUGGAUUGCAGUUAUCAAGCGUUUAAACUAGCUAAGCUUGGUACUACUUCCAUCCCUAUUCUUUAAAAACUUGCGUUUAUUGGACAAGUAUGUGUUGGAUUUUUUUUAAAGGAAAUUCUUGAUUUUUUUAAUGCUCAUUUGAAUUCUUCUCGGUCAUCUUUUUAUUUUUAUUUUUUUGGGAAUACAUCGAUUUGAACGAGUAAAUUUUAUAUUUUGAUUUAAAAUAUUAGUUUAUUCACAUGUUAGUUUGGAGAUUAAGAGAAAAUUGUCGGUUAUCUACAUUCAACUAAUAAAAAAGCUAAUUUUAGUGUUAAUAGAUUCCUUUUAGCAAGAGGAAAGUCAUUGAGAUGUUUUUGAGCUUCUAUCUCGCUGGAAAAAAUAGAUCGAGAUUAGAGAAUAAUUUCUAUUUAGUUUAAUUUUUUAUUUUUUGAUCGAUUAAUGAGUGUUUUAAAGUUAGAAAUUGAUUAACUAAUAUGAUUAGGAUGCUUAUUACGUCUUUUUAGGUGAAAAUAGUUUGAAAUUUGAGUUUUUGGCUAUAAAAAACUUGGGAUCCCAGAAUUAGACGACGCCGCAUCAUCUGCCACUAUAGAAAACACCUCAUAUGUUUUUUUAAAGGCAAACAACAUGUCAUUUACCUUUAAAUAAAAAUAAAUAAAGAAUGCCAAAUACGUGGCCCUGGCCUUGAAGGUCCCAAUGUGCUAGGCCUUCUUAUUGUUGAGUUAGACUUGCUGGACUAAUCUCGUAUUGCCAAGCAUUUCAUCUCUUUCUAUGAUAUUUUGUUUCUCUAUUUUUUGAGAUUUUGAUUGAAAUGUACUUUAAAUUAUUAUUUAAUUUUGACAUAGUUUUUAAAUAAUAUUAUAGAUUUUUAUAAGAACAUUAACAAUUGUUUUCUUAAUUAUAUAUAUAUAUAUAUAUAAAGUGUUCAUGAAUAUCCAAUGAAAAUAAAAUUUUUAUUUUGUAGUUUUUAAUAGAUUUAUGACAUGAUUUUAUCACAUCAAUUUUUUUUAACCUUUAAUUACACACAAAAUAUUAUGAUAUUAUUUUAAUAUUAUUUUAUUAAUUUUUUUGAGAUCAUGAAAGUCUUUUAAUUUAAAGAUAAUUCUUAUAAUUAAAAAACAUGAUUUUAUUGAAACAGUAAAGUGAUACAUUAACAAGAAAAUUUUUAAACCCGAUAAGACCCACAACCUAAGUCAUAUGUUGUGCGAGUGGACUUGUGUCAAUCUAGUACAAUAUCGUUUCAACACUUAAAAAAAAAGCAUAAAAACAACAUUUAGAAACAUAAUCUUAAAAAAAGUUAGACCUAGUUCUGACGAGGUCGCGAUUUGACUUAUUGGUUAAUUGGGUCAUAACAAGUCAAACUCCAUCGAAUUUAAUUUGAAAGUCUACAUAAACUAAGGGUUAUGUCAGCUGAUCACCAAGUUGACUUGCUCAAGCAAGCCAAGGCUUAAUAAUACUUCCAAAAUGUUCCUUACCGCAUGCAAAGAACUAAGCUAGUUAUAUUCCCAAAUUAUGUUAGGGUCCUUUUUGGUGUCUUUAUUUUCCUUUGCUAAUUUUCAUUUUAUUAUUGGCUAUCUAUGCAAUCUUAAUUUCAAUGGAGUAAUUUAUUAUUCUGAAAAAACAAUCGUUUAUAAGUGCGAGGAAGAGGGUUAAAAACACCAAGCACACAAACAUUUAACCUCUCAAGCUUUUAUUGAUUGAUUCUAACACUUUUAAAAUUUUGAAUUCAUUGGCCCUUAUAUUUAUAGGGAUAUUACAACAUUUAACUAUCAUAAUUUAAUAAGGAUUUUAUUUAACUAGUUAAACAAGGAUUAUAAACUAAUAUUCUUAAACACUCAGUUUUGUAAAAAAUAACUUUCUUUUAAACAAGGUAUAUAUAGGUUGUCUUUUUAUAUAUUUCAUUUUCGAAAGAUAUAUAUAGGUCUUUAAUAUCUUGUAUAUAACUUCAUAAUAUAUUUCUAAAUUAAUCUUAAUUGGUAAUUUAUAGAUUACCGAAACCAGGUCUUCUAAGGCAAGUUUUACUUUGCGGAGUAUAUUUUGUUUUUGUCAGUAAACAACUAGAGCAUUAAAAAAUAUUUUUUAACCUUCUUCCGUGCGCGAAAUAAAGAUUAUCAAGUAUAAAUAUUUUUCUAACAAUAAAUUUUCUUGUUGGCUAAAGUACUUGUAGUUUCCAUUGUUCAUUUCAUCGAGCUUUAUUUCUCCAACUAUGAUUUGUUUAGAUAAAUCAGAGUCCAUUUUUGCCUGCAUAUAAAUAAUAAACUAGUUUUUGCAUUUAUUUUACCUUGUGUUUAUUUUCCCCUAAAAAAACCUCUUAUACUGCCUUAUCUAUGAUAUUUUACGUCCUUUUGUUAAGUUCAGUUUAGGAAGAAAAACUGUUUAAAUAGCAUGUACAAAGAAUAUAAGCCUUAUUUUUUUAAUUUUUUUUCUAAUAUUAGAGGUUGAUUUAUCUUAUGUUUUUUAGGUUGUUUUUAUGUCGAUAUCAGAGGCUAACUUAUUGUUAUCAAAUACACUAAACUCCCUAUAAUAUGCUUGUAAAUAGUGGCAUCAACCUUCUUUCCCUCAUUAUCCUUUUUAGUUUCAAACCAAACUCAGCUGGUGUACACAUCAAAUUGCAAUUCUUCAUUCGAAAGUUAUCUAAAAUUUCUCGAACAUGUUUCUUUUAAUAAAUAAAAAUUAUGACAUUUUAUUGAACCACUUCAAAGUCAGGAAAGUAAUUAACUUUUCAAGAUUAAACAUAUCAAACAUAGUCAUCAUAGACCUCUUAAAUUUUUCAAGCAUGGCCCCAUCAUUACUAGUGUAAAUCAAAUCAUUUAUAUAUAAGCAUACAACAUACAAAAAAUAUUUUUCCUCCAUCUUUAAUUUUAAUGAAAAAAAAGUAUGCUCAUAUGUAUAUUUUUUUUAAUCUUUCUUUUUAGAAAUAAGCAUUUAUAUGAAUGUAUUAAUCUCUUGAAGCUUGCUUCAACCUAUAAAGAUUCUUUUUCAACUUAUAAACUUUAUGCUCAUUAGCAAAUUUCAUAUAAAUACGAGGUUGAUUAACAAAUACUUGUUCUUGAAGAUCUUAUUUAAAAGCUAACUUCACAUCUAACUAGAAGAUAAGCCAUGAAUUUUAAGCUACCAAAUCAAUAAUCAAUCUUAUUAUAUUAUGGCUUGUAAUCGGAGUAAAAACUUCUUUAUAAUCGAUACCAUACUAUUGCUUGUAACCUUUAGCUACUAGAUGUGCUUUAUAUAUAUCAAUUUCAUCAUUCUCCUUUAAUUUUUUCUUAUACACCCAUUACACCAAUGGUCCUUUGUCAUUUUGGAAGCUCCAUCACCUCCCCAAUGUUAUUUUUUCUCAAUGACAUCAAUUUUAUCAUCCAUAGCCUUUUGCUACUUUGUUUCUUUAAAGACAUCUUUGAAAGUCAUAGGAUCACAAUAUGAGUAUUGAGCAAAAUAAGUAAGUAAAUCAUUAGAUUGAUCAAUUCUAGUUAUUUCUUAAUCACUUAUCCAUAUAGGCCUUUUUUUUCUAACACAUUAUGAUAUUUGACUAUUAGGUGUAAUUUGAUUAUCUACUGGUUACAAUGCUUUCUCCAUAGGUUUUUCCCCUUUUUUUCAGCAUCAUCACCAUCUAAAUCCAUUGAAAUAUUUUGUUUAACACCAUCAUUACUCCAUAUUGUGAUUAUAUAGUUUAAUUUUAUAGGCCUUUUUUCUAACACAUUGGAAUAUUUUGUUUAACACUAUCAUUACUCCAUAUUGUGAUUAUAGAGGCUUUUUUUCUAACACAUUAGAAUAUUUUGUUUAACACCAUCAUUGCUCAAUAUUGUGAUUAUAUAGGCCUUUUUUUAACACAUUAUGAUAUUUCACUAUUAGGUGUAAUUUGAUUAUCUACUGGUUUUGGUGCUUUCUCCAUAGGUUUUUCCUAUUUUUUUCAUCAUCAUUACCAUCUAAAUCCAUUGGAAUAUUUUGUUUAACACCAUCAUUACUCCAUAUUGUUUAGCCUCAUAAAAAAUAACAUCUCAACUAAUAAAAAAUUUCUUGGUGUGUUAGGAUUAUAUAGUUUAUAAGCUUUUAAGUAAUCACUAAUAUGAAGAGAAAUACAUUUUUCUCUUUUAUCAUCAAGCUUUUUCCUCUUUUGGUCUAGAAUAUGGGAAAAAAUAAUGCACUUAAGAAUUCUGAUAUGAUUUACCACUGAUCUUCAUCCACUCCAAGCUUCCUCUGAUGUCUUGUCUCUAACGACAACCAUGAGACUUCUAUUCAAAAUAUGAAUGCACCAAUUUACUACUUUAGACCAAUGAUUUUUUAGUAAGCCACUCCCUGUAAAAAGAAUUCUCAUCAUAUCCAUAAUAGUACGGUUCUUCCUUUUCCAAACACCAUUUUGUUGAGGCAUAUAAGUUAUGGUAAAUUGGCUUUUGAUUUCACGGGUCUCAUAAAAAUUUAUAAAUUCAUGAGUUAUACUCUCCAUCAUGGUCUGUUCGAAUAACAUAUUUUUGGUUUUUCAGCUUCAUUUUUAACAAGUGUUUUAUACCAAUUAAAGGCUUCAAAAUCUUUAGAUUUUUCUUGUAAAAAAUAAACUCAAAUUUUUCGACUACAAUCAUCAAUAAAAGUGAUUAUAUAUAUUUUACAUCUAUUAAAAAGUGGAGUUAUUGGCUUACAAAUAUCAAAAUGAAAAGCUCUGAUGGCUUUCUUGCUCUUCCUGAUUUUCCUCGUGAAAAUUGAUUUCAAUGUUGUUUACUAAAAACACAUUCUUCACAAACUUCAGAAGGGGUUGUGAUUCGAGGAAGACCCAUCAUCAUAUUUUCUUGAUGUAAAAUUUCUAAUCCGUUAAAUUUAAGGUAUCCAUUGCAAAUAUGUCAUAGCCAUAUAUAAUGUAUUCAGUAAGUCUUAUUAGCAGAUACAUAGAGAAUCCAAUAGAAUCUCAUCUUCAAACUUCUAAAAGGAUAUUUUCACACUUGAAAGGUACUAUGGAGUGUGGAUUGUUCUACAAGAAAGGGAAAAUAUCAAAUUUGAUUGGUUUUACUGAUAGCAAUUAUGAGAGAGAUUAAGAUAAUAGAAAAGGCACUUUUAGAUAUGUUUAUAAGGUUGAUUUAAUAUCUUAUAAUCUUGAAAUAUGCAAUCAAUCAAUUGUCACUUUAUCAACCAUGAAAGCUAGAUUUAUAGCCGCGACUUUGUAUACAUGUCAAGCAAUAUGGUUGAAGAAAAUUCUUAAGAGAUUUGACAAAGGAUGUAAUGAUUGAAAUCAUCUAUUGCAAAAGUGAAGAACAAGUCGUUGAUAUAUUCACUAAGUCUCUCAAAUUGGCUAUUACUGAGAGGACUAUUGUGCAUUAUUGCUGGAACUGUGUUACCGUUGUCAGUGCGAAGAAACUCUGCUAUAAUGCUAGUUUGUUUGGAAGGUGCUAUCAUGGUUUGCUACUACUCUUCUUGUUGUUGCUGGGCAGGACUAAUCACUGUUGGAUCGUCUGCAAUAAGUUGUUGUUGUUGCUAUCAAUGUUUCAUUGUUGUAAUGAUAACUAAUCUUUGUGUGGGGGAGUUCUGCUUUCUUAGAAAUUUUGUUAAUGCUAUUGUGAAGAGUUUUUCUUACUUCCUUAGUUUCUUAAUCAACUUAAGUUCUAAUAACAUUUGUUAAAAACACUAAGCACACAAAUAUUUAACCUCCUAAGCUUUUAUUGAUUGAUUCAAUACUUUUAAAAUUCUGAAUACAUUGACCCGUAUAUCACAAGGAGAUUAUAAUCUCUAACUAUCAUAAUCCAAUAAAGAUUUUAAUUAACCAAUUAAAUAAGGAUUCUAAACACAUAUUUUUUUUAAAUAAAGGUUCCGACUUAUACUAGAAUUAUAACUAAUAUCUAAUAAAAAGAGGCUAAAAAGAGUUAGUGAUAGAGGUGAUGAGUAAAAUGAAGCAUGAUGAGUUAAAAAAAAUUUAAAGACUGAAGUAAGUCAUCAUGGAAAAGGCGUUUUGGACCGUUUAGAAUGGAGUCAUUGAAAAGAAAAAAAAAAGCACUUUAUAGAUUACUUGUAAAACAUUGUCGCAUGUAAAACAAGCUUGAAAUGCAACUUCUUUAAUUUCCUUGAAUUUAUCUAAUGCCGCUAGUGUGAAUCACUAAACCACUACCCCUACAAGGCACCAUAUAUAAAUUAAAAUAUUUUUAAUGCUCAAAUAUGAUCUCAUUGUUGACAUGUAAAUGCAAAAAAUUUUAUUGUGUUUUCUACUUUUAAUUUUUUUUUUUGUUUUGUAAGUGACAUGCUUUUAUAGGAUGAAGGUGUACUUUUGGGGAUUGAUUGCAUUAAAGAUUAAUAUUUUAUGAUUGUUAGUUGUUUUAUUCAUAGGAUAGUUAGUGUUUUUUAGCAGUAAUUAUAGUUUUAAAUUAGAUAAUGUUCUAAGGUUACACUGCGUGUCAGAUCAAAUUUUUUAACAUUAAAAAGACGUUCUUAAUGUGUUUUUUAGUAAAAAAAAAUAAAAAUAAACCAUGUGGGAUUGACUCAAUGUGACCUGAUCAACUUGACGGGUCUAAAGACAACUCGGAUAACUUGUAAAAAUAUAGUUUGACUAAAGAAAAUUCAAGAAUACAACUUUUUUAAAAAAAUAUUGAGAUGACAAAACAUCAUGUCGACUUAGUUGAACAUGAGUUAACCUGCCAAAUCUGUCUCUCAGGUCAUGAGACCGUGAUAAUUAAAACAAAUUAUAAAGCUCAAUUCUCAAUUAACCCAAUAUUAAAAGAUAAAAUUGAAAAAAAAUCAAUUAUAAAAAAGGACCCGAAAAGAAAAUGACUCAAGUCACAUAAGUUAAUCUGACAAAUUCUUGACUUGGAUCAUGAUAUUGAGAUAACUUAAUAGAACACAAAUCAAAAUAAGUUAUGAAACUCAAUUCUCAAUCAACCCAACGUUGAAGGAUAAAGUUGAAAAAUAUCAAUUAAAAAAAAGACAAAAACUAUUCAAUUCAAUAUGGGUGAACUCGUGACUCAAGUCAUGAGAUAUGAAUAACUUCAUAGAAAAUAAAUUAAAAACAUUAUGAAGUCAUAUCUCCAGUAAACUCAAUAUUAAAUAUUAAAAUUAAAAAAUAAAAAUAAAAACCAUUAGCUGAGGAGACAAACAAUUAAUUCACGUACUUAUUUUCAUUAUAUAAAAUAGGAUUUAAAUGUUAUAAAAGAAGGGAUUAAUUAUUGUGAGCACUUGUAUUUCAACAAUUGUAUUUACAUUUCAAAGCCACGUUAAUGCGUUUGAAUAUCAAAGGAAAUGAACUCUCAACACAAUGAAUUAGAGAAAUAGGAUUCAUGUGAAAAGACAAUUUUUUAGUUAACUCAAUAUAGCAUACAAGGUUUUACGGUAGUGAUUAUACUAGGAGCUUAAUCAGUUUUUUUUUUAUACUAUUAUGCAUUUUUGUUUUCAUAAUAAAAAAAAUGUACUAUUGAGAAUCUCAAUUGAAUUCAUAAAAACAAUACAAUUUAGAGUGUGUUUGACAUUGUGUUUGGAACUAUUUUUAAGGAAGUGUUUGAGAGUAUAAUGACAGUUGCUUUUCAAAGUGCAUUUUGUUCGAAAAUGCAUCAUAAUAAUAUCUUUUUAUUUUUUAAAAAAUAUUUUUGACACAUCAAAACAAUUCAAAAACAUAAGAAAAUAGUUUUAAGCAGAAAUAAAAUUCAAAUUUUGUUGAAACACCUGUGCAAACAUAGCCCCAAACGAGGUCUAAGUGCGUUUGGCUUGAAAAAAACAUUAAAUUGAUGGGUUUUUUUUAGUGUUUUCCGAAGGAUUUAAUGUGUUGAUGUCAAAAAUUAAAAAAAAUUGAAAAAAUAAUUUUAAUACAUUUUCAAGCAAAUAACACUUUUGAAAAGUACCCUACACCACAAUCUUAAUAUGUGUUUGGUAUUGUUGUAUCUUUUAUGGUUGUAUCUUGAAAAAAAAUAGAUUAAAAAAAAACUUUUAGCUAUUGCUAGUUGGAUUAAAAUAUGUGUUUGGUUAAAACUGGAAUUAAAAUUAUUAUUGACUAUAAGUAGUGAAAAGGUAUUUGGUUAAAACUGUUGUUAAAAGUGUUUUUGAUAACCUUAAAUGUAUUUCAUAACUUUAAAUUACAUAACCAUGUGAUUAUUAAUAUAUAAGAAAUAUAGCAAAACAAUAUUAAAGUCCUAUUUUAUACAAUAAAUAUACCAAUUGCAAAGUUAGCCUAGCUAAGAAUCUAAGCAUUAUUAUUAUUUAUAUAUAUCCUGAAAUAUAAAGUAAUUUUAUUGUUCUAUUAAAUAGUUGCAAUUCCAUCAUGAACAUCAUCCAUUCAAAAAUGGUAUAUGGUUUACAUGUUUUAUGGAUGUUUUCUACAAUCCUAUUAUCUUGUCUAUUAAUAAAUAAAAUUUGAUAUUUUGGAAAUACACAAUUACAAGCAUGUUUAGCAAGCAAUUUUGCACUCAAUAAACAACAAAAUCUAGCACUAGACAAGUUUGACAUUCAAUAAACUUAUUAUUUAUAUAAGAAAAAAGAUUCUACUCAAAUCAAGAGCCUCAAAUCCCAUCUUAAAAAAGAAUAAUAAACUAUCAGAGAGAUUACAACUUAGACAUUGAGAUAUAUAACCUAUUCCCCUUGUUUUCUAAAUGUAAAUGCAGAAGUUCUUAGGAGAGAGCAAAAAUUAAUCAUCUAAGAUCAAAUUCACAUUUAAAUUUGUAAAUAAAUUCAUGGAUUUCGUGGCAAAAUUUUUACCAUUGAGCCUUAUACCUCCACAUUUUAAUUACAUAAAUUAUCAUUGUUAUUUUGGCUCAUGGAUGCACAAAGAUUUUAGCAAAUAAUUUUGGCUCAUGGAUGCACAAAGAUUUUAGCAAAUAAUUUCUUAACCACCUCAAAGUUAAAAAAGAAUAAAUUAUAGCUUUAACUAUCUAGUGAUUGAUCGGAGUUUGUUCCAAGUUCAAUUAGCAAGUUGGAAAAGAAAUGGCUAAAUCUAAAACAAAGUAGAUGAGAAAUAACCAAUUAUCUCUUACUCAAUACAAUUUAAUAGCCAGUAGGUGGAUGAUUUGAAUGUUUUGUUCUUCUUUUUUCAAUACAUCUAAGAGGGGAUAAAUUAGGUAUUCCACUAAUAAUAAUAAAUAUUGCAAUUAAUUAAAUUAAACAUAAUUAACCAAUAAUAUAAUGAAAUUGCGUAAAGUAAAGAAUAAAGAGAUAGAAAUUAUAAACUUGAUUUUUAACGUGGUUCGAUAAGUCUACAUCCACACCUCAAACAAUAUACUGGUCUUGAAUAUUGUAUUUUUUAUUAAUCCAAGCUAAAGAUUGCAAUCUCCUUAAUGAAUCCUCACCAAGCCUUUUUUUACCACCUGAAGAAAUACCCUUGUAAAACCCAGGAUAAAUUAAGAAUAAUAUAAUAGCAACUAUGGUGUAAUAAAAUGAAAUAAGAAAAUGAUUAUAAUAAAUAGGGAAAGAAAAGUUAAGAAAAAGAAAAGUUUAUGGCCGAAUUAGUAUAUUUUAACAGAAGUAGAAAUGAUAUAACUGUUUUGAUAAAUAACUAGAUAGAUUUAAGAAAACGGUCAAAUCGUUGGCUACUAUAUCUAUUAUAACUCGAUGAUGUGUAGUAAGAGAGAAAAGAACAUUUAUGUGUCUUCUUCCUUCCUUUCACCUUUAAAGGCUAGAGAAUGAGGUUUAGGGUUUUGAGAGAGAGAAACACAUCCAUAUUAGAAAUAUAGAAAGAUGAAAGAGAAGGAAGAUUGAAUUAGAGAGAAAAAGUGAAGAAAAAAAAGGAAGAAAGAGAAGCCUUGGAAAAUUCCAACUAGUUGAUUUUUGAAAUACAUUUUGUAACCAGGUAAGAUGUUUGGACCCCUUUAUGUCAAUUUAAACAAGAGUUAGUUGAUUUUGAACAAAUUUUAGCAAAAUUGAAUUAGAGUUCUCGAGAUGAAAUUUGUGGGGAAAGUGAAUUUUUUAGAAAUUGAGUUUCUGUAACUUUUAUAAGUGGUUGUAGGAGUGAAAUAAUGGAAGAAUAAUGAAGAAAAUUGAUAGGUAAGGAAGGACUAUAGGACGGCCAUAAAGAAAAAGAAAAAAAGGGAAAUUAUACAUUUAUGAUACUGACUAUUAAUUGUGUUAUAAAUGAGUAUAAGAUCAUGCGAAAAAUAAUUUUUAUUGAGUUGAAUUAAUGAAACAAUGAAAUAUUGAGAAAUUAAAUAGUUGGGUCUAGCGGGAAGAAAUUAUAAAUUCUAUGGAAUUGUAUAAAAUUGAAUAUAGAUUGAAUGGAGAACUAUUUUGUUAUCUUUGAUUUGUGUUAAGUGACAUGUUAGAUAAAUGGGUAACACUUGGAUUAGUUGAAGAAUUGUGAAUUAAAUUGCUUGAAAUAAGAUGAAUAUAAUUGAAUCUGAAAAAAUAUGCUUGGUAAUUAUGAUGCAGGCGAGGCCGUAAAAGUUGUGCACACGGUAGGGACCAUUGUGUGCCAGACAAUAGCAGGUAGGUGCCCUGCGCUUCACUUUUUUUAUGCAUUUUCAUUUAAUUUGUGAAUUUCUUAAAUGUAAAAGUACAUGGGAAUGUCGUUAAAAUAUGUAAGAUUAAAGAGUUUGAUUAAAUGAUGAACUAAGGCUUGCUAAAAGGAAUGUCGUAAUUGAUUUGGUAUUCCAUAAAAGGAAUUGUUGUGUAGAGUGAAAUUUCAUCAAAGGAGUUGUUGUGUGGAGUGGAAUCUCAUCAAAGGAAUUGCUAUGUAGUAUGGAAUUUCGUUGAAGGAAUUAUCAUGUGGUGUGAAAAUUUGUUAAAGGAAUUAUCGGAAUUGUCAUAUGGCAUGGAGUUCCAUUGAAAUAAUUGUCAUGUGGUAUGGAGAUUCAUUAAAGGAAUUAUCAUAGUGAAUAACUUCUAAGAAGGAAAUCCAAAUUAUAGGCUCUCCAAUAUGGAUUGCUGAAUUUAAAUCGAAAAUACUAUAUUAUUGGUAUAUGAAAUGGAGUAUUAUAUUUGAUAAUUAUAUUUAUUUGAUGAAGUACCAAAAUUAAGUUUAUUAGUUUAAAUGGUGAAGAUUAAUUAUGAAGUAUUCAUGAUUAUUUCGUAUGGGUAUCUCAGGUAUAUCUCAAGAUCAACGUAAUUAGUUACUUUGGUGACUUUAUGCUGGUUUAGAUUACAUAUUAGGGACCUAUGUAUAUGAUGUGUUUUGGUUAUUUAUGUUUGUAAGUGACAAAUUCAUAGACUAUUAAAGUAUGUAAUUGUAACUAAUAUAUGAUAGUUUUAAUGAAUGAACAUUUUGUAAAUAUGCAUGAUAUGAUAUUUAUAGGUAAUC